AUUUAUGUUAAGGAAUAACGAUGC
RNAcentral lists this non-coding RNA (24 nucleotides) under Arabidopsis thaliana (thale cress). The record is from RNAcentral. Lineage: Eukaryota; Viridiplantae; Streptophyta; Magnoliopsida; Brassicales; Brassicaceae.